This is a small nuclear RNA of Delphinapterus leucas (beluga whale), 103 nucleotides long. NCBI's taxonomy places the organism in Eukaryota, Metazoa, Chordata, Mammalia, Artiodactyla, Monodontidae. The record is from Ensembl.
GUGCUCACUUCAGCAGCACAUAUGCUAAAAUUGAAAUGAUACGGAGAAGAGUAGCAUGGCCCCUGCACAAGGAUGACAAAUUCGUGAGUCAUUCCAUAUUUUU